GGCAGCACGGAGCUUGCUCUGGUGGCGAGUGGCGAACGGGUGAGUAAUAUAUCGGAACGUACCCAGGAGUGGGGGAUAACGUAGCGAAAGUUACGCUAAUACCGCAUACGUCCUAAGGGAGAAAGUGGGGGAUCGCAAGACCUCAUGCUCAUGGAGCGGCCGAUAUCUGAUUAGCUAGUUGGUAGGGUAAAAGCCUACCAAGGCAACGAUCAGUAGCUGGUCUGAGAGGACGACCAGCCACACUGGAACUGAGACACGGUCCAGACUCCUACGGGAGGCAGCAGUGGGGAAUUUUGGACAAUGGGCGCAAGCCUGAUCCAGCAAUGCCGCGUGAGUGAAGAAGGCCUUCGGGUUGUAAAGCUCUUUUGUCAGGGAAGAAAAGGUUACGGAUAAUACCUGUGGCUCAUGACGGUACCUGAAGAAUAAGCACCGGCUAACUACGUGCCAGCAGCCGCGGUAAUACGUAGGGUGCAAGCGUUAAUCGGAAUUACUGGGCGUAAAGCGUGCGCAGGCGGUUUUGUAAGACUGUCGUGAAAUCCCCGGGCUCAACCUGGGAAUGGCGAUGGUGACUGCAAGGCUAGAGUUUGGCAGAGGGGGGUAGAAUUCCACGUGUAGCAGUGAAAUGCGUAGAUAUGUGGAGGAACACCGAUGGCGAAGGCAGCCCCCUGGGUCAAAACUGACGCUCAUGCACGAAAGCGUGGGGAGCAAACAGGAUUAGAUACCCUGGUAGUCCACGCCCUAAACGAUGUCUACUAGUUGUCGGGUCUUAAUUGACUUGGUAACGCAGCUAACGCGUGAAGUAGACCGCCUGGGGAGUACGGUCGCAAGAUUAAAACUCAAAGGAAUUGACGGGGACCCGCACAAGCGGUGGAUGAUGUGGAUUAAUUCGAUGCAACGCGAAAAACCUUACCUACCCUUGACAUGGCAGGAAUCCUGGAGAGAUCUGGGAGUGCUCGAAAGAGAACCUGCACACAGGUGCUGCAUGGCUGUCGUCAGCUCGUGUCGUGAGAUGUUGGGUUAAGUCCCGCAACGAGCGCAACCCUUGUCAUUAGUUGCUACGAAAGAGCACUCUAAUGAGACUGCCGGUGACAAACCGGAGGAAGGUGGGGAUGACGUCAAGUCCUCAUGGCCCUUAUGGGUAGGGCUUCACACGUCAUACAAUGGUACAUACAGAGGGCCGCCAACCCGCGAGGGGGAGCUAAUCCCAGAAAGUGUAUCGUAGUCCGGAUCGUAGUCUGCAACUCGACUACGUGAAG
Molecule: ribosomal RNA, 1256 nt
Filed under: Duganella sp.
Lineage: Bacteria; Pseudomonadati; Pseudomonadota; Betaproteobacteria; Burkholderiales; Oxalobacteraceae
Description: bacterial SSU rRNA
Rfam family: Bacterial small subunit ribosomal RNA
Source: RNAcentral